This 468-nucleotide ribosomal RNA is filed under the name uncultured bacterium. RNAcentral's name for it is "partial 16S ribosomal RNA". It matches the Rfam family "Bacterial small subunit ribosomal RNA", at positions 28 to 507 of the family's 1533-position model. The record is from RNAcentral.
GAUGAACGCUGGCGGCGUGCUUAACACAUGCAAGUCGAACGGAAAGGCCGAAGCUUGCUUCGGUACUCGAGUGGCGAACGGGUGAGUAACACGUGGGUGAUCUGCCCUGUACUUCGGGAUAAGCUUGGGAAACUGGGUCUAAUACCGGAUAUGACGAUCUCUUGGAUGGGGUUGUGGAGAGCUUUUGCGGUAUGGGAUGAGCUCGCGGCCUAUCAGCUUGUUGGUGGGGUAAUGGCCUACCAAGGCGUCGACGGGUAGCCGGCCUGAGAGGGUGUACGGCCACAUUGGGACUGAGAUACGGCCCAGACUCCUACGGGAGGCAGCAGUGGGGAAUAUUGCACAAUGGGCGCAAGCCUGAUGCAGCGACGCCGCGUGGGGGAUGACGGCCUUCGGGUUGUAAACUCCUUUCGCAAUCGACGAAGCCUUUUGGUGACGGUAGGUUGAGAAGAAGCACCGGCUAACUACGUG